Molecule: ribosomal RNA, 206 nt
Filed under: uncultured bacterium
Lineage: Bacteria
Description: partial 16S ribosomal RNA
Rfam family: Bacterial small subunit ribosomal RNA
Source: RNAcentral
CAUCUAGGCGGGGUUUCAAGUCGACGGUGAAAACUAGUGGCUCAACCAUUAGCUUGCCGACGAAACUGAAAUUCUAGAGUAUUGGAAAGGUGGGCGGAACUACAUGAGUAGAGGUGAAAUUCGUAGAUAUAUGUAGGAAUGCCGAUGACGAAGGUAGCUCACUGGACAAAACUGACGCUGAAGUGCGAAAGCUAGGGGAGCAAACA